GCCGCUCAUGCAGGAGCCGAUGGAGCGCCGCGUGGAGUCCAGUCGGAGGGUUUUUACCAGGUGAUGCUGUCCAAACCCGACUGAUCUACUUACCGGAUCAAUGGAUCCCGAUUUAUUCCUACGCAGCUGGAAGAGGCUGUUUCAUUCAUUAAUAACUGUGUGUGUGAUCCUCAUUUAUCAAGCGCAUCUUUCCAGGGGUAGUGAGGGAGUGAACGUUUCAAACUGGGAUGUUUUAAAUAACAGCGGGAGCAGCAGGAUAAAGCAUCAGAAAUGGGACACCGCUUCCCAUGGAGGGCAGGUAGGCUGCUGCAUUGAUCACUGAUGCUGAUGGAGUUUCUUGGAGCAGCAAACACACAGAUCACAGAGAAAUCAGGAUUUCU
Molecule: long non-coding RNA, 380 nt
Organism: Cyprinodon tularosa
Lineage: Eukaryota; Metazoa; Chordata; Actinopteri; Cyprinodontiformes; Cyprinodontidae
Exons: 3
Source: RefSeq, a predicted model, not a curated record